RNAcentral lists this ribosomal RNA (2902 nucleotides) under Escherichia coli. RNAcentral's name for it is "23S ribosomal RNA". It matches the Rfam family "Bacterial large subunit ribosomal RNA". The record is from RNAcentral. Lineage: Bacteria; Pseudomonadati; Pseudomonadota; Gammaproteobacteria; Enterobacterales; Enterobacteriaceae.
UUAAGCGACUAAGCGUACACGGUGGAUGCCCUGGCAGUCAGAGGCGAUGAAGGACGUGCUAAUCUGCGAUAAGCGUCGGUAAGGUGAUAUGAACCGUUAUAACCGGCGAUUUCCGAAUGGGGAAACCCAGUGUGUUUCGACACACUAUCAUUAACUGAAUCCAUAGGUUAAUGAGGCGAACCGGGGGAACUGAAACAUCUAAGUACCCCGAGGAAAAGAAAUCAACCGAGAUUCCCCCAGUAGCGGCGAGCGAACGGGGAGCAGCCCAGAGCCUGAAUCAGUGUGUGUGUUAGUGGAAGCGUCUGGAAAGGCGCGCGAUACAGGGUGACAGCCCCGUACACAAAAAUGCACAUGCUGUGAGCUCGAUGAGUAGGGCGGGACACGUGGUAUCCUGUCUGAAUAUGGGGGGACCAUCCUCCAAGGCUAAAUACUCCUGACUGACCGAUAGUGAACCAGUACCGUGAGGGAAAGGCGAAAAGAACCCCGGCGAGGGGAGUGAAAAAGAACCUGAAACCGUGUACGUACAAGCAGUGGGAGCACAGAGCAAUCUGUGUGACUGCGUACCUUUUGUAUAAUGGGUCAGCGACUUAUAUUCUGUAGCAAGGUUAACCGAAUAGGGGAGCCGAAGGGAAACCGAGUCUUAACUGGGCGUUAAGUUGCAGGGUAUAGACCCGAAACCCGGUGAUCUAGCCAUGGGCAGGUUGAAGGUUGGGUAACACUAACUGGAGGACCGAACCGACUAAUGUUGAAAAAUUAGCGGAUGACUUGUGGCUGGGGGUGAAAGGCCAAUCAAACCGGGAGAUAGCUGGUUCUCCCCGAAAGCUAUUUAGGUAGCGCCUCGUGAAUUCAUCUCCGGGGUAGAGCACUGUUUCGGCAAGGGGGUCAUCCCGACUUACCAACCCGAUGCAAACUGCGAAUACCGGAGAAUGUUAUCACGGGAGACACACGGCGGGUGCUAACGUCCGUCGUGAAGAGGGAAACAACCCAGACCGCCAGCUAAGGUCCCAAAGUCAUGGUUAAGUGGGAAACGAUGUGGGAAGGCCCAGACAGCCAGGAUGUUGGCUUAGAAGCAGCCAUCAUUUAAAGAAAGCGUAAUAGCUCACUGGUCGAGUCGGCCUGCGCGGAAGAUGUAACGGGGCUAAACCAUGCACCGAAGCUGCGGCAGCGACGCUUAUGCGUUGUUGGGUAGGGGAGCGUUCUGUAAGCCUGCGAAGGUGUGCUGUGAGGCAUGCUGGAGGUAUCAGAAGUGCGAAUGCUGACAUAAGUAACGAUAAAGCGGGUGAAAAGCCCGCUCGCCGGAAGACCAAGGGUUCCUGUCCAACGUUAAUCGGGGCAGGGUGAGUCGACCCCUAAGGCGAGGCCGAAAGGCGUAGUCGAUGGGAAACAGGUUAAUAUUCCUGUACUUGGUGUUACUGCGAAGGGGGGACGGAGAAGGCUAUGUUGGCCGGGCGACGGUUGUCCCGGUUUAAGCGUGUAGGCUGGUUUUCCAGGCAAAUCCGGAAAACUAAGGCUGAGGCGUGAUGACGAGGCACUACGGUGCUGAAGCAACAAAUGCCCUGCUUCCAGGAAAAGCCUCUAAGCAUCAGGUAACAUCAAAUCGUACCCCAAACCGACACAGGUGGUCAGGUAGAGAAUACCAAGGCGCUUGAGAGAACUCGGGUGAAGGAACUAGGCAAAAUGGUGCCGUAACUUCGGGAGAAGGCACGCUGAUAUGUAGGUGAAGCGACUUGCUCGUGGAGCUGAAAUCAGUCGAAGAUACCAGCUGGCUGCAACUGUUUAUUAAAAACACAGCACUGUGCAAACACGAAAGUGGACGUAUACGGUGUGACGCCUGCCCGGUGCCGGAAGGUUAAUUGAUGGGGUCAGCGCAAGCGAAGCUCUUGAUCGAAGCCCCGGUAAACGGCGGCCGUAACUAUAACGGUCCUAAGGUAGCGAAAUUCCUUGUCGGGUAAGUUCCGACCUGCACGAAUGGCGUAAUGAUGGCCAGGCUGUCUCCACCCGAGACUCAGUGAAAUUGAACUCGCUGUGAAGAUGCAGUGUACCCGCGGCAAGACGGAAAGACCCCGUGAACCUUUACUAUAGCUUGACACUGAACAUUGAGCCUUGAUGUGUAGGAUAGGUGGGAGGCUUUGAAGUGUGGACGCCAGUCUGCAUGGAGCCGGCCUUGAAAUACCACCCUUUAAUGUUUGAUGUUCUAACGUUGGCCCCUGAUCGGGGUUGCGGACAGUGUCUGGUGGGUAGUUUGACUGGGGCGGUCUCCUCCUAAAGAGUAACGGAGGAGCACGAAGGUUGGCUAAUCCUGGUCGGACAUCAGGAGGUUAGUGCAAUGGCAUAAGCCAGCUUGACUGCGAGCGUGACGGCGCGAGCAGGUGCGAAAGCAGGUCAUAGUGAUCCGGUGGUUCUGAAUGGAAGGGCCAUCGCUCAACGGAUAAAAGGUACUCCGGGGAUAACAGGCUGAUACCGCCCAAGAGUUCAUAUCGACGGCGGUGUUUGGCACCUCGAUGUCGGCUCAUCACAUCCUGGGGCUGAAGUAGGUCCCAAGGGUAUGGCUGUUCGCCAUUUAAAGUGGUACGCGAGCUGGGUUUAGAACGUCGUGAGACAGUUCGGUCCCUAUCUGCCGUGGGCGCUGGAGAACUGAGGGGGGCUGCUCCUAGUACGAGAGGACCGGAGUGGACGCAUCACUGGUGUUCGGGUUGUCAUGCCAAUGGCACUGCCCGGUAGCUAAAUGCGGAAGAGAUAAGUGCUGAAAGCAUCUAAGCACGAAACUUGCCCCGAGAUGAGUUCUCCCUGACUCCUUGAGAGUCCUGAAGGAACGUUGAAGACGACGACGUUGAUAGGCCGGGUGUGUAAGCGCAGCGAUGCGUUGAGCUAACCGGUACUAAUGAACCGUGAGGCUUAACCU